UGUAGCUCCCUCUACGUUUCACUAGGUGUCGUCUUCGCUUUAUUUUCCACCCCCUCCCCCUCAUCCCAAACUUUUGUCCUGCUUUUGUCAGCUUUCGUAUACUGUAAAAACAAGUAUCGGCGGCAAUAUGAAAUGGGUUUACCUUUCAGGUGGCUUUCAAACUGUUACAAGAUAAAUCUUGCUCAAGGCGGAACAGCAACGUAUCCUUCACAAAGAGAUGGCAUAAUCCAAGAUGGUCGAUGAGAAACUGCUAACUACAUUGAAAGCAAAUAAAAGAAGCACUAGACAUGAAUUAUACCAAAUUUAUCACCAACCACGAACGAUCCAGAGAGGUGAAUUUUACUGAUGUGAAUUUAGCCAGGUUUUUGUACAAUUUGUAAAAUAAAGGAAAUUCAAAAAAGAAAAGAAAUUGGUGACUCAGAGAAAAUGGAUGAAGCGGUUGGCGCAUCGGUUGUGGCUUGCACUCCUAACCUCGAGGUCGGGGGAUCGAAA
This is a long non-coding RNA of Anneissia japonica, 492 nucleotides long. RefSeq lists it as uncharacterized. Lineage: Eukaryota; Metazoa; Echinodermata; Crinoidea; Comatulida; Comatulidae. The record is from RefSeq and is a predicted model, not a curated record. The transcript has 3 exons.